RNAcentral lists this ribosomal RNA (1436 nucleotides) under uncultured organism. RNAcentral's name for it is "SSU rRNA". It matches the Rfam family "Bacterial small subunit ribosomal RNA". The record is from RNAcentral.
GCUCAUGAUGAACGCUAGCUACAGGCUUAACACAUGCAAGUCGAGGGGCAGCAUGGUCUUAGCUUGCUAAGGCCGAUGGCGACCGGCGCACGGGUGAGUAACACGUAUCCAACCUGCCGUCUACUCUUGGACAGCCUUCUGAAAGGAAGAUUAAUACAAGAUGGCAUCAUGAGUCCGCAUGUUCACAUGAUUAAAAGUAUUCCGGUAGACGAUGGGGAUGCGUUCCAUUAGAUAGUAGGCGGGGUAACGGCCCACCUAGUCUUCGAUGGAUAGGGGUUCUGAGAGGAAGGUCCCCCACAUUGGAACUGAGACACGGUCCAAACUCCUACGGGAGGCAGCAGUGAGGAAUAUUGGUCAAUGGGCGAGAGCCUGAACCAGCCAAGUAGCGUGAAGGAUGACUGCCCUAUGGGUUGUAAACUUCUUUUAUAAAGGAAUAAAGUCGGGUAUGCAUACCCGUUUGCAUGUACUUUAUGAAUAAGGAUCGGCUAACUCCGUGCCAGCAGCCGCGGUAAUACGGAGGAUCCAAGCGUUAUCCGGAUUUAUUGGGUUUAAAGGGAGCGUAGAUGGAUGUUUAAGUCAGUUGUGAAAGUUUGCGGCUCAACCGUAAAAUUGCAGUUGAUACUGGAUAUCUUGAGUGCAGUUGAGGCAGGCGGAAUUCGUGGUGUAGCGGUGAAAUGCUUAGAUAUCACGAAGAACUCCGAUUGCGAAGGCAGCCUGCUAAGCUGCAACUGACAUUGAGGCUCGAAAGUGUGGGUAUCAAACAGGAUUAGAUACCCUGGUAGUCCACACGGUAAACGAUGAAUACUCGCUGUUUGCGAUAUACGGCAAGCGGCCAAGCGAAAGCGUUAAGUAUUCCACCUGGGGAGUACGCCGGCAACGGUGAAACUCAAAGGAAUUGACGGGGGCCCGCACAAGCGGAGGAACAUGUGGUUUAAUUCGAUGAUACGCGAGGAACCUUACCCGGGCUUAAAUUGCAGAUGAAUUACGGUGAAAGCCGUAAGCCGCAAGGCAUCUGUGAAGGUGCUGCAUGGUUGUCGUCAGCUCGUGCCGUGAGGUGUCGGCUUAAGUGCCAUAACGAGCGCAACCCUUGUUGUCAGUUACUAACAGGUUCCGCUGAGGACUCUGACAAGACUGCCAUCGUAAGAUGUGAGGAAGGUGGGGAUGACGUCAAAUCAGCACGGCCCUUACGUCCGGGGCUACACACGUGUUACAAUGGGGGGUACAGAGGGCCGCUACCACGCGAGUGGAUGCCAAUCCCCAAAACCUCUCUCAGUUCGGACUGGAGUCUGCAACCCGACUCCACGAAGCUGGAUUCGCUAGUAAUCGCGCAUCAGCCACGGCGCGGUGAAUACGUUCCCGGGCCUUGUACACACCGCCCGUCAAGCCAUGGGAGCCGGGGGUGCCUGAAGUGCGUAACCGCGAGGAGCGCCCUAGGG